RNAcentral lists this ribosomal RNA (375 nucleotides) under uncultured eukaryote. Its description in RNAcentral is "partial 18S ribosomal RNA". It matches the Rfam family "Eukaryotic small subunit ribosomal RNA", at positions 592 to 976 of the family's 1831-position model. The record is from RNAcentral.
CAAUAGCGUAUAUUUAAGUUGUUGCAGUUAAAAAGCUCGUAGUUGGAUUUCGGUUAAGAGCGACCGGUCCGCCGUUUGGUGUGCACUGGUUGGUUUUAACUUCCUGUAGAGGACGUGCUCUGGGUUUAACGACCUGGACUCGGAGUCUACGUGGUUACUUUGAAAAAAUUAGAGUGUUCAAAGCGGGCUUACGCUUGAAUAUUUCAGCAUGGAAUAACACUAUAGGACUCCUGUCCUAUUUCGUUGGUCUCGGGACGGGAGUAAUGAUUAAGAGGAACAGUUGGGGGCAUUCGUAUUUCAUUGUCAGAGGUGAAAUUCUUGGAUUUAUGAAAGACGAACUCCUGCGAAAGCAUUUGCCAAGGAUGUUUUCAUUAA